GGGUCAGUAGGUUGGUCGUGCCACCGGUACGUACUGGUCUCACUGAUUCCUCCUUCCUGAAGAACCGUAAUGCCAUUAAUUUGGUGUUGCGGGGAAACAGGACUGUUACUCUGAAAAAAUUAGGGUGUUUAACGCAAGCUAACGCUUGAAUACAUUAGCAUGGAAUAAUGAAAUAGGACGAUCGAUCCUAUUUUGUUGGUUUCUAGGAUUGACGUA
This 216-nucleotide ribosomal RNA is filed under the name Glomeromycotina sp. RNAcentral's name for it is "partial small subunit ribosomal RNA". The stretch from base 44 to 216 matches the Rfam family "Eukaryotic small subunit ribosomal RNA", at positions 690 to 864 of the family's 1831-position model. Lineage: Eukaryota; Fungi; Glomeromycota. The record is from RNAcentral.